RNAcentral lists this ribosomal RNA (212 nucleotides) under uncultured bacterium. RNAcentral's name for it is "partial 16S ribosomal RNA". It matches the Rfam family "Bacterial small subunit ribosomal RNA", at positions 8 to 198 of the family's 1533-position model. The record is from RNAcentral.
AGAGUUUGAUCAUGGCUCAGGAUGAACGCUGGCGGCGUGCCUAACACAUGCAAGUCGAGCGAAGCACUUUACUUUGAGAUCUUCGGAAGGAUAAGUUUUGUGACUGAGCGGCGGACGGGUGAGUAACGCGUGGGUAACCUGCCUCACACAGGGGGAUAACAGUUAGAAAUGACUGCUAAUACCGCAUAAGCGCACAGGGCCGCAUGGCCCGG